Molecule: ribosomal RNA, 292 nt
Filed under: uncultured bacterium
Lineage: Bacteria
Description: partial 16S ribosomal RNA
Source: RNAcentral
GGACUACCAGGGUAUCUAAUCCUGUUUGAUCCCCACGCUUUCGUGCCUCAGUGUCAGUAACUCCUUAGUAAGCUGCCUUCGCAAUCGGUGUUCUUGAUAAUAUCUAUGCAUUUCACCGCUACACUAUCAAUUCCGCCUACCUCAUCAGUACUCAAGCCCUACAGUAUCAAUGGCAGUCCUACAGUUAAGCUGCAGGCUUUCACCACUGACUUAUAAGGCCACCUACGCACCCUUUAAACCCAAUAAAUCCGGACAACGCUUGCACCCUCCGUAUUACCGCGGCUGCUGGCAC